RNAcentral lists this ribosomal RNA (470 nucleotides) under uncultured Acidimicrobiales bacterium. RNAcentral's name for it is "bacterial SSU rRNA". It matches the Rfam family "Bacterial small subunit ribosomal RNA", at positions 8 to 489 of the family's 1533-position model. Lineage: Bacteria; Bacillati; Actinomycetota; Acidimicrobiia; Acidimicrobiales. The record is from RNAcentral.
AGAGUUUGAUCAUGGCUCAGGACGAACGCUGGCGGCGUGCUUAACACAUGCAAGUCGAACGAGGUCCACGGUGUAGCAAUACACCUGAAGACCUAGUGGCGAACGGGUGCGUAACACGUGAGGAACUUGUCCCGGUCUCUGGGAUAACAGUUGGAAACGACUGCUAAUACCGGAUGACGUCGGAGCAUCGCAUGGUGCGCUGACGAAAGGGUUACUGGAUCGGGAGAGCCUCGCGGCCUAUCAGCUUGUUGGUGGGGUAACGGCCCACCAAGGCAUCGACGGGUAGCUGGUCUGAGAGGAUGAUCAGCCACACUGGGACUGAGACACGGCCCAGACUCCUACGGGAGGCAGCAGUGGGGAAUCUUGCGCAAUGGGCGAAAGCCUGACGCAGCAACGCCGCGUGCGGGAUGAAGGCUCUCGGGUUGUAAACCGCUUUCAGCAGGAACGAAAAUGACGGUGCUGCAGAAGAA